GAUGAACGCUAGCGGGAGGCUUAACACAUGCAAGUCGAGGGGCAGCAUAGGGUAGCAAUACUCUGAUGGCGACCGGCAAACGGGUGAGUAACGCGUAUGCAACCUACCCUGUACAGGGGGAUAACCCGGAGAAAUUCGGACUAAUAUCCCGUAAUAAUAUCCGGAGGCAUCUUUGGAUAUUUAAAGUUUCGACGGUACGGGAUGGGCAUGCGUAACAUUAGCUGGUUGGUAAGGUAACGGCUUACCAAGGCUAUGAUGUUUAGGGGUCCUGAGAGGGUGGUCCCCCACACUGGUACUGAGACACGGACCAGACUCCUACGGGAGGCAGCAGUGAGGAAUAUUGGUCAAUGGGCGCAAGCCUGAACCAGCCAUCCCGCGUGCAGGAAGACGGCCCUAUGGGUUGUAAACUGCUUUUAGCCGGGAAUAAACACCCGUUUUAUAACGGGCCCGAAGGUACCGGCUGAAUAAGCAUCGGCUAACUCCGUGCCAGCAGCCGCGGUAAUACGUCCUACUG
RNAcentral lists this ribosomal RNA (514 nucleotides) under uncultured bacterium. Its description in RNAcentral is "bacterial SSU rRNA". It matches the Rfam family "Bacterial small subunit ribosomal RNA", at positions 28 to 534 of the family's 1533-position model. The record is from RNAcentral.